ACGCUCGACACCUACGGAGGCAGCAGUGGGGAAUAUUGCGCAAUGGGGGGCAACCCUGACGCAGCAACGCCGCGUGAUUGAAGAAGGCCUGGUUGUAAGANUUAUNAGGNGAAAUANAGACUGAGAAUAAGACUCCGGCCGUAACUACGUGCUAGCAGCCGCGGUAAGUACUGAGCGGGCGUGGCGAAGGCG
This 192-nucleotide ribosomal RNA is filed under the name uncultured bacterium. RNAcentral's name for it is "partial 16S ribosomal RNA". It matches the Rfam family "Bacterial small subunit ribosomal RNA", at positions 328 to 538 of the family's 1533-position model. The record is from RNAcentral.